RNAcentral lists this ribosomal RNA (253 nucleotides) under uncultured bacterium. Its description in RNAcentral is "partial 16S ribosomal RNA". It matches the Rfam family "Bacterial small subunit ribosomal RNA", at positions 524 to 776 of the family's 1533-position model. The record is from RNAcentral.
AACGUAGGACGCAAGCGUUAUCCGGAAUUACUGGGCGUAAAGCGCGUGUAGGUGGUUUGAUAAGUCACUGUUGAAAGCUCCCGGCUAAACUGGGAGAGGUGCGGUGAGACUGUCAGGCUAGAGUAUGGGAGAGGGAUGCAGAAUUCCGGGUGUAGCGGUGAAAUGCGUAGAUAUCUGGAGGAACAUCGGUGGCGAAGGCGGCAUCCUGGACCGAUAUUGACGCUGAGGCGCGAAAGCCAGGGGAGCAAACGGG